UGCGGUUGAACUUCUUCUUGAGCUCGGUCAUGUGCUCGCUCUUAGUGACCCGAAAAUAGUAAUCAGCGAAAUCAGACUGGUACAGACAGUUGUCCGGGGUAGCUGUGCCAAUGGCUAGAACGGUGGCCGGACCCUUGGCACGCUGAGCAUUUCUAAUUUCCUCCACAGACGCCAUUGAUAGUAGGAUGACUGCUGAAAUCGAAGCUUAAAAGUUGAAGAAGGAAAGAGAAGUGAAUGUUUCGGAGCACAGAGUGCUUGGAGCUGGCUGGAAAAAGUUGUGUCUUGAGGUUGGUAUUUAUAAUCAUAAGGAAUGCUGUGUUUCACCAACUCUCAUCCACUUGGACGCUAUUGAAAUUGAAUGGUGUCCUGCCCAGUCAAUGGAUACUUGAUGAUACAUGAAAGGGCAGGGACUUGCAUGUAGGUAGGCGUGCAUUUGAAUAAUCCAUGCUGCAGUGACAUGGGUUUUGAUCAUUUCCAACUUGGUAGGCUUCGGUUUUCAUUCUUUAGAUCUUUCUCUAUAACUCUAAUCCUUUUGUCUUUAGCCCACGUAAGGUUGUUGGAAGCUUACCCUCUUGUCUUUAGCCCACGUAAGGUGGUUGGAAGCUUACCCUCUUUGACUCGAAGUUGGUAGGACCACUUCCAUAUCCCCCGAAUGCUAUAAUUUGACCAUGGAGUUGGGCUUCUUGACUUGCAAUAAUAAAAGACCCAAAUCUUUCACAUGCUGAGCUACCUGCUGCCGGCUGGACGUUCGGAAAUCUACAAUGAAGUAGAUUAUGUAGUCAAAUUUACUAUUUAAAAUAACGAAUAUAAAAAUGUUAAUUUAGUCAUUUAAAAUAAAUUUUAACUUAACUUUAUUAAAUAAGCUAAGUGCUUAAAGUAAAAUUUUAAUAAUGAGUUUUAACUCAAUAAUUUAAUUUAAAUACAACUUAAAUCAUCAAAUAAAAAACAUUAAGUUUUAACCGGUCAGCUUGGGAAUCACUUUUUCAAUUGACCCAUAGCUCGACAAUUUAAAACUUAUAUUAAGAAUAUUUACAUUUCAUAAUUAAUAUCUUAACUCAAAUUUUUAGUAAGUAUGGAUUCAUACACUUUCACCGGCUCCCAAUCCACUAGCAGCUGGUAGGCUGAUAAAGUCAGAUGGUGGCGGAGACUCGUUCAACAAUCUCAUGCUUAUUUAAAUUAUAUCAGAUGGUUUUUUAAUGCUCUUUUGGGAGGAGGGGGAAAGUGACAAAUUCAGCAUCAGUCGACCGGGGCUGCAAAUUAAUUCAUCAACUUAAGAAAUUUUGUGUAGAACACAUUUCUACAUUUUAAACUUAUGAGAAGGAGAAUCCACACAUUUCUAUAAUUAAACAUAUUUAUUUAUUAAGUAAAAUAAUUCAUAACUUUUUCACUUUUAGUUGGCUGCAAAAGACGAUGAAGUCAUAUUCAACAAAGGAAGAUUUUUCUAUUGAAAUUACUCAAGUCCGAAUUAUACGGAGUCAAAGUUCUCUGGAAAUAUGUAUGAAAACUUCACUGAAAAUUGGGACUUAAAAACAGGCUGCAAAACACAAAAAGGAAAAAGAAAAAGAAAAAAAAAAGAGUAUAAUUCUUAAAUUAUUUUUAAUUGUUUGAAAAAAAAAUUGUUAUUUGAUUAAAAGAGCUUUCUCAGCUCCAAAAGUGACUGCUAAACAAAAUUUUGGGUUAUUUUGAGUUAUGUUAUCUUAUGUAAAAAGUUAGGUUUAAAUGAUAUAAUUGUAACAUCAUAAGAUUUUGAAUAAUAAUUGAAAGUUUUGUUAGUAUAGAACCAGUCUUGUAUAUGUCUUAAUCUAAUAGGACUAAUGAGAGGUAAGACAUCACCCUUGUUUCGAUGGUGGCUAUCUUAUUUAAUUUAUAUGCACUGUAGAACCAAACUGGUUUCCAUAUUUUUCAAAUUCGUAGUCUGUCACUUUUAGGCCUUGAGUUGGAUACGAUUUUUUGGAAUUUUCAAGCAAAACUAAGACUAAAUCAGCGCGGGAAAAGGAAUAUGAAAAUUUUUCUCACUUGCAUGCCUAAACAAAAUAGAAAUCCAUUAUUUCUUUCAUUUUGAUAACAUACACAAGGAUAAACAAGGAUUUUAACUUGAGGUCUCUGAAAAAGUCCUCCAACAACGAUAAAUAACAAAUAAUAAAUUCUGAGUAAAGAUGAUUUCAUGGUGAUAUAUCUUUACUACCAAUAUUUGAUUAAUAGAACAUGGCUCGUGAAUGGUUUUUCCUAUCAUUUCACUUAGUUUGAAUCCAUUUGAACGCUAUGUAGUACAACGGUCUCAAUGGUCAAGCCUGGCCCAAAGCCAAACAAAACACCCCAAUCCAAUCCUUCACCUGUGGUUGUCUUUCCUUCCUUGAGCGAUUUCUUUCUCAUCUCGUCCAAAAUAAACAAGACACAUGCACUCGACAUGUUCCCAUAUUCACUUAGAAUAUGUCUUGUUGCUUUGAGUUUCUGUUUAUCUAAACUGAGUUUUGCUUCAACUGCGUCAAGAAUAGCUGGGCCACCGGGAUGAGCAAUCCAGAAUAAGGAAUUCCAGUCACUAAUACCAAUUGGGUCAAAAGCCUUAGUCAAACACUUCUCUAUGUUUUCAGAUAUCAAACUAGGCACAUUAGGCCACAAUUGAAAGGUGAGACCCACUUCACGUAAGUUGCCGGCAAUAGCACCUGCUGAAUUUGGAAUAAAUGUUUGUGCUGCUGAAACAAGCUGGAAGAGUGGUUGUUCAAUCGAGAUAUCUGGAUCUGAUCCAACAAUUACAGCUGCAGACCCAUCACCAAAAAGGGCUUGGCCAACUAAAGAGUCCAAAGCAUCUUCGGAAGGACCACGAAAUGUAACAACAGUGAUCUCAGAGCAUACCACAAGAACUCGUGCUCCUGCAUUAUUCUCUACAAGAUCCUUAGCUGUUCGAAGAACAGUUCCACCUGCAUAGCACCCUUGAUGGUACAACAUCACUCUUCUGACAGAUGGUUCGAGGCCUAAAAGAUUAGCGAGUUUAUAAUCUGCACCAGGCAUUUCUACACCUGAGGUGGUACAAAAUACAAGGUGGGUGAUCUUCGAUUUAGGCUGACCCCACUCUUUAAGAGCCUUCAAUGCUGCUUCCUUACCAAGCUUGGGUACCUCAGCAGUGAUAAUCUCUUGGCGUAUGUUAAGAGAUGGAGCCAUAUAAGCACCAAUGUUUGGGUGCUCCUCAAGCAUUUCUUCGGUCAAAUGAAUGUAACGCUUCUUGAUCAUGGAUUUAUCACCUGUAUAUAAAUUAAACAGGAGUAAUAUGUGAGCUCAAGGCAUUCAUUGUUCAAGAUGAUCAACAUCGUUCAAGUGAGUGUAAAAAAAUUCAUCUUAGUACAAUAUAAAAGCUUAUUCUGCUCAUACCAUCGCGCAGAGAUGCAUUGAAUUAAUUUAAAAUGAGUACACAGGAUGUUAAAAUUAUACUUACAGAUGCGGUUGAACUUCUUCUUGAGCUCGGUCAUGUGCUCGCUCUUAGUGACCCGAAAAUAGUAAUCGGCGAAAUCAGACUGGUACAGACAGUUGUCCGGGGUAGCUGUGCCAAUGGCUAGAACGGUGGCCGGACCCUUGGCACGCUGAGCAUUUCUAAUUUCCUCCACAGACGCCAUUGAUUGUGUGUGAUGACUACUGAAAUCGAAGCUUAAAAGUUGAAGAAGGAAAGAGAAGUGAAAUUGUAGGAGCACAAGUGCUUGGAGCUGGCUGGCCAAAGUUGGGUAUUGAGGUUUGUAUUUAUAAUCAUAAGAAAUGCUGUGUUUCACCAACCCUCAUCCACUUGGACGCUAUUGAAAUUGAAUGGUGUCCUGCCCAGUCAAUGGAUACUUGAUGAUAUGUGAAAGGGAAGGGUCUCCCAUGUAGGUAGGUGUGCAUUUGAAUAACCCAUGCUGCAGUAACAUGGGAUUUGAUCAUUUCUAACUUGGUAGGCUUCGGUUUUCAUUCUUUAUUUUUUGCGUUCUUGAUCUUCCUCUAUAACUAUAUUCUUUUUUUCUUUAGCCCAUGUAAGGUUGUUGGAAGCUUACCCUUUGUCUUUAGCCCAUGUAAGGUGGUUGGAAGCUUGCCCUCUUUGACUUCAAGUUGGUAGGACCACUUCCAUAUGCCCCGAAUGCUAUAAUUUGACCAUGGAGUUGGGCUUCUUGACUUGCAAUGAUGGAAGACCCAAAUCUUUCACAUGCUGGGCUACCUGCUGCCGGCUGGACGUUUGGAAAUCUACAAUGAGGUAGAUUAUGUAGUCAAAUUUAGUAUUUAAGACUAAUGAAGGUAAAAAUUAAUUACAACUAAUGAAUAUAAAUAUGUUAAUUUAAUCAUUUAAAAUAAAUUUUAACUUAACUUUAUUAAAUAAGCUAAGUGCUUAAAGUAAAAUUCUAAUAAUGUGUUUUAACUCAACAAUUUAACAAUAAUUAAAUUUAUAUUCAACUUAAAUCAUCAAAUAAAAGACAUUAAGUUUUACAAACUCAACUUGAGAAUCUUAACUCAGGUUUAAAACUUAUAUUAAGAAUAUUUACAUUUCAUAGUUAAUAUCUUAGCUUAAAUUUUUAAUAGGUUUGGAUUCAUACACUUCCACCAGCUCCCAAUCCACUAGCAGCUGGUAGGCUGAUAAAGUCAUAGAUGGUGGCCGAGACUUGUUCAACGAUCUCAUGCUGAUUUAAAUUAUAUCAGAUGGUUUUUGAAUGCUCUUUGGGGUGGAGGGGGGAAGUGACAAAUUCAGCAUCAGCCGACCGGCUGCAAAUUAAUUCAUCAACUUAAGAAAUUUUUGUGUAGAACACAUUUUCACAUUUUAAACUUAUGAGAAGGAGAAUCCACACAUUUCUAUAAUUAAACAUAUUUAUUUAAGUUUUUUAAAUAAAAUAAUAAGGAAAAUAAGUCAUAACUUUUUCACUUUUAGUUGACUGCAAAGAUGAUAAAGUCAGUGUCUUCUGAAAGGAUUGCUAGACUAGAAGAAAGGAAAACUAAAUGAAUAAAAAAUAAAAAAUAUUGAAAUCAUUUUCACCAAAGGAAGAUUUUUCUAUUCAAAUUAGUCAAGUCCAAAUUAUAUGGAGUCCAAUUUUUCUGGAAAUUUGUAUGAAAACUUCACUGAAAUAGGGACUAUAAAAAAGGCUGCAAAACAAACAAAAAAAGAGUAUAAUUCUUAAAUUAUUUUUAAUUGUUUGAAAAAUAAAGAGUUUAAAUAUGAAAUAAAAUGCUAUUUGAUUAAAAGAGCUUUCUCAGCUCCAAAAGUGACUUCUGGAAUAGGACAUAUGAACGGUAAUAUUUUUCUUACAGCAUGUUCAGGUAGCAGUAGACGUCACCCUUGUUGCUGUGGUGGCCAUCUUAUUUAAUUUAUAUGUACUAUGGACCCAACUUGGUUUCCGUAUUUUUCAAAUGAAUAGUCCGCGUCACUUUUAAGGCUUCAGUUGGAUAAGAUUUUUUUGGAAAGAAAAGAAAAUUCUUACAUGGGGUUUUCAAGCAGAACUCAAACUAAAUCAGCACGGGAAAAGGAAUAUGUUGGAAAAUUUUCUCACUUGUAUGUCUAAACAAAACUCAAAUCCAUUAUUUCUUUCAUUUUGAUAACAUACACAAGGAUAAACAAUGAUUUUAACUUGAGGUCUCUGAAAAAGUCCUCCAACAACGAUAAAUAACAAAUAAUAAAUUCUAAGUAAAGAUGAUUUCAUGGUGAUAUAUCUUUACUAUCUAUAUUUGAUUAAUAGAACAUGGCUCGUGGAUCAUUUUUCCUAUCAUUUCACUUAGUUUGAAUCCAUUUGAACGCUAUGUAGCACAACGGUCUCAAUGGUCAAGCCUGGCCCAAAGCCAAACAAAACACCCCAAUCCAAUCCUUCACCUGUGGUUGUCUUUCCUUCCUUGAGCGAUUUCUUUCUCAUUUCAUCCAAAAUAAACAAGACACAUGCACUUGACAUGUUCCCAUAUUCACUUAGAAUAUGUCUUGUUGCUUUGAGUUUUUGUUUAUCUAAACUGAGUUUUGCUUCAACCGCAUCAAGAAUAGCUGGGCCGCCUGGGUGAGCAAUCCAGAAUAAGGAAUUCCAGUCACUAAUACCAAUUGGGUCAAAAGCCUUAGUCAAACACUUCUCUAUGUUUUCAGAUAUCAAACUAGGCACAUUAGGCCACAAUUGAAAGGUGAGACCCACUUCACGUAAGUUGCCUGCAAUAGCACCUGCUGAAUUUGGAAUAAAUGUUUGUGCUGCUGAAACAAGCUGGAAGAGUGGUCGUUCAAUCGAGAUAUCGGGAUCUGAUCCAAUGAUUACAGCUGCUGACCCAUCACCAAAAAGGGCUUGGCCAACUAAAGAGUCUAAAGCAGUUUCUGAAGGCCCACGAAAUGUAACAACAGUGAUCUCAGAGCACACUACAAGAACUCAUGCUCCUGCAUUAUUCUCUGCAAGAUCCUUGGCAGUUCGAAGGACAGUUCCACCUGCAUAGCACCCUUGAUGGUACAACAUCACUCUUCUGACAGAUGGUUCGAGGCCUAAAAGAUUAGCGAGUUUAUAAUCUGCACCAGGCAUUUCUACACCUGAGGUGGUACAAAAUACAAGGUGGGUGAUCUUCGAUUUAGGCUGACCCCACUCUUUAAGGGCCUUCAAUGCUGCUUCCUUGCCAAGCUUGGGCACCUCAGCAGUGAUAAUCUCUUGGCGGAUGUUAAGAGAUGGAGCCAUAUAAGCACCAAUGUUUGGGUGCUCCUCAAGCAUUUCUUCGGUCAAAUGAAUGUAACGCUUCUUGAUCAUUGAUUUAUCACCUGUAUAUAAAUUAAACGGGAGUAAUAUGUGAGCUCAAGGCAUUCAUUGUUCAAGAUGAUCAACAUCGUUCAAGUGAGUGUAAAAAAAUUCAUCUUAGUACAAUAUAAAAGCUUAUUCCGCUCAUACCAUCGCGCACAGAUGCAUUGAAUUAAUUUAAAAUGAGUACACAGGAUGUUAAAAUUAUACUUACAGAUGCGGUUGAACUUCUUCUUGAGCUCGGUCAUGUGCUCGCUCUUAGUGACCCGAAAAUAGUAAUCGGCGAAAUCAGACUGGUACAGACAGUUGUCCGGGGUAGCUGUGCCAAUGGCUAGAACGGUGGCCGGACCCUUGGCACGCUGAACAUUUCUAAUUUCCUCCACAGACGCCAUUGAUUAGUGUGUGAUGACUACUCAAAU
Molecule: long non-coding RNA, 7114 nt
Filed under: Vitis vinifera (wine grape)
Lineage: Eukaryota; Viridiplantae; Streptophyta; Magnoliopsida; Vitales; Vitaceae
Description: long non-coding RNA (VVIN_LNC005497)
Source: RNAcentral